AUCCAGCUGACGAGUCCCAAAAUAGGACGAAACGCAUGUUCUGGAU
Non-coding RNA from Schistosoma mansoni, 46 nucleotides. The record is from Rfam. Lineage: Eukaryota; Metazoa; Platyhelminthes; Trematoda; Strigeidida; Schistosomatidae.